GAUGAACGCUCGCUACAGGCUUAACACAUGCAAGUCGAGGGGAAACGGCAUUAAGUGCUUGCACUUUUUGGACGUCGACCGGCGCACGGGUGAGUAACGCGUAUCCAACCUUCCCAUGACUAAGGGAUAACCUGCCGAAAGGCAGACUAAUACCUUAUGGUCUUCACUGACGGCAUCAGAUGUGAAGUAAAGAUUUAUCGGUUAUGGAUGGGGAUGCGUCUGAUUAGCUUGUUGGCGGGGUAACGGCCCACCAAGGCAACGAUCAGUAGGGGUUCUGAGAGGAAGGUCCCCCACAUUGGAACUGAGACACGGUCCAAACUCCUACGGGAGGCAGCAGUGAGGAAUAUUGGUCAAUGGGCGAGAGCCUGAACCAGCCAAGUAGCGUGCAGGAGGACGGCCCUAUGGGUGGUAAACUGCUUUUGUAUGGGGAUAAAGUCAAUCACGUGUGAUUGUUUGCAGGUACCAUACGAAUAAGGACCGGCUAAUUCCGUG
Molecule: ribosomal RNA, 492 nt
Filed under: uncultured bacterium
Lineage: Bacteria
Description: partial 16S ribosomal RNA
Rfam family: Bacterial small subunit ribosomal RNA
Source: RNAcentral